CACGUAGGGGGCGAGCGUUGUCCGGAUUUAUUGGGCGUAAAGAGCUUGUAGGCGGUUUGUCGCGUCUGCUGUGAAAAUCCGGGGCUCAACCCCGGACUUGCAGUGGGUACGGGCAGACUAGAGUGUGGUAGGGGAGACUGGAAUUCCUGGUGUAGCGGUGGAAUGCGCAGAUAUCAGGAGGAACACCGAUGGCGAAGGCAGGUCUCUGGGCCAUUACUGACACUGAGAAGCGAAAGCAUGGGGAGCGAACAGG
This 253-nucleotide ribosomal RNA is filed under the name uncultured bacterium. RNAcentral's name for it is "partial 16S ribosomal RNA". It matches the Rfam family "Bacterial small subunit ribosomal RNA", at positions 524 to 776 of the family's 1533-position model. The record is from RNAcentral.